GCGGGGGAUAACUAUUGGAAACGAUAGCUAAUACCGCAUAAGAGUAGAUGUUGCAUGACAUUUGCUUAAAAGGUGCAAUUGCAUCACUACCAGAUGGACCUGCGUUGUAUUAGCUAGUUGGUGGGGUAACGGCUCACCAAGGCGACGAUACAUAGCCGACCUGAGAGGGUGAUCGGCCACACUGGGACUGAGACACGGCCCAG
Molecule: ribosomal RNA, 203 nt
Filed under: uncultured Streptococcaceae bacterium
Lineage: Bacteria; Bacillati; Bacillota; Bacilli; Lactobacillales; Streptococcaceae
Description: partial 16S ribosomal RNA
Rfam family: Bacterial small subunit ribosomal RNA
Source: RNAcentral